CAAUCUAUUAUUAUAUACUGUGAAUAAUGUUCUUUUAAAAUUCCUGUUAACCGUUUCUGCGGGCAGGAAUGCAGUAACACGGAGAGGAUUUGAAUAUAACCUGGCUGUAGGAAUUCUGUCUGCGCCAUUCCUGGAAAAGUCUCCGUCGUCCUCCUGCCCGCUGUUACUCACCCACUAUGUUUAUUUAUUACAUAUAGAUUGGUGGCAGAACUCUGCUCUCCAGAGUUCAGUACAGACGUCUCUAGCCUUGUGAGGGAGUAUGUCAAUGGAUACAAUUUAAGCGUACAGCAAUCUUCUUCCUGCUAUUUGUUUAAUGGUUUCAUUAACGUGAGUCUAUCGCGGAACCAUUAUCUUUCAGUGUUCACCUCUGAUCGCAGCUAAAGCCACAUACAUGAACUGUUCUGAUGUAUCGGAGAUCACGUUUCUCUUUGCGGGUUGUUUUAUUUGCGGUCGGGUAAUCUCGGGCUGAUUAACCGUGUGCGGGAUGAAGACGGACAAACGACCCGCGCAGCGUAUUCACCCGGCAACGACCCGAAGAGUUUGCUCUCCACUCAUCGAACCGGAUCACAAGUCCGGUCAGCUGGGAUUAGAGUAACCACAGAAUGUUGGAAUGCUUGUCAUCAUCAUGGCUGAAGGUGGCGAUUGGACAAGAGAUGCAGGGACAUCUACAUCAAGUCAACAGAAAGAGAAGCAGAAUAUGGUAACACCUAUCCACACCACGCCUGAAGUUGGAAACAGGGCUGUGGCUCCAGUGACCUCAACAACAAGGACGGACACAGCAGAUGCAGUCCCUGAUCUAACACACUGCUGAUGAUCCUGCCCUCCAACAACUUGCGGACGUUAUCCGCCAUGGUUGGCCUGACUGACGCUCUUCCCUGCCGGCUGAUGCCGUACCCUACUUCCUGGUUCGGGAUGAACUGGUGCUACACGACAGCGUGGUGGUGAAGGGUCACAAGGUCGUGGUGCCGGCCGCUCUGCGGGAUCACUAUUUCCAAUCUGCACACAACGGCCACCCCGGGGUGGAAGCCACUUUGUCCCAGGCCCAAAGCCAGUUUUACUGGCCGGGUAUGGCUCAAGACAUCCGUGACAGAGUCUCCGCUUGCGCUGCCUGCAACAGUCUCCUGCCUCAUCAGCAGCGCCAGCCUCUCCUGCAGCAGCCGGCCCCCGAGCUACCGUGGAUGUCUGUUCGAAUGUCAUGGCAAACACUUCCUGGUCCUGGUGGACUCAUACUCCAGUUGGUUUGAGGUGGAUCAGCUGCCUUCCAUCACCUCUGCCGCCGUCAUCGGGAAGCUUCGCCGCCACUUUUCGACCUUCGGAUCCCCGGUGACCCUCCAAUCGGACAACGGCAGCCAGUUCUCCAGCGCCGAGUUCCGUGCCUUCGCUGCCCGUUGGAACUUUUGCCACCACACUAGCAGCCCUGAGUAUCCGCAGAGCAACGGCCUUGCGGAACGCGCUGUCUGCAGUGCCAAGGAGCUGCUGGAACACUGCCGCCUUUCCCAUUCCGACUUCUACCUUGCCCUCCUCAACCUCCGCAACAUUUCCCGCGACCCCGCGACUCGGUUUGCCUGCCCAGCGCCUCAUGUCCCGCACCACUAGACCACCUCUCCCUGUCUCACAACAGUCCCUCAAACCCUCGGUCCAGACCCCUGCCGCUGUCACGGAGCGCAUCAUCGAGAAGCAAGCCACCCAGAAGCGCUCCUUUGACAAGUCGGCCCGGCCGCUUCCUCGCCUGUUCCCGGGCCAGGGGGUUCGGAUGCAGUCCCCCUCCGGGCACUACAGGCUGGCCGUUGUAGUUGGUAAUGCCGGCUCUCCCCGGUCAUAUCUCGUCGACUAAGAGGGCACCGUCUACCGUCGGUCACGUCAGCACCUCCUGCUCGUCAACGAGCCUCCUCCGCCUCCCACGGACCCGUUUCAGCCACCUAUCCCUUCCAUUUUGCCCGAAGCUCCGCCAGCCCCUGUCACUCCGCGCAUGCUGCGGAAACUGCCCUCCCAGCUCUCUGUGCCCCGCACUCACAAGCCUCUUUCCCCUGCCUCGCCUGCCAGUGUACCCGUUUCGCCUCGCUGUUCUCCUCCAUCUCCGGUGCGUUCCUCGUCCAGCUCUCCCACCUCUGUCCCUGACUCUGUCCCUUCUGCUCCUGCGGUUGAGGGGGAAUGCGGGUUGCGCACCCGCUCUGGGCGGUUGGUCAAGCCGCCUGUCCGUUACGGGGAGCUCGCUUAGCUGUAUUAUGACCCGGUUAACUAUUCCCGGUGCGGUUUGUAAUCCUAGCGUAUGAGCCGUGGUCGCUCUGUAUAUUGCCAUGCUUUUGUUUCCAAGAGGAGGGAUGUAGAUCAGUGCAUGUCCCUUUAACAUAGUGACCUCACCACUACUAACCACUCCCCAUUGUCUCUCGUAUAAUUGUAGUGUCCCCACCUCCAGCUCACUCUCUAGCUCCAGUGAUGACCACGGACAGCUAUUGCAUAGUGUGUAUUAGUGCUUGUAAUAAACUAUCAGUAAAAGACUUUGUGUGGCAAUCAAGUCGUUUUACAAUCGUGGAGGUGAUGAAACAUCCUCACUGAAGAUUCAGAUGUGCAUUAAUGCAGUGACUGAGGAGUGAAGAUUAUAAGGGCGCAUAAAACGUCGUGAUUUGGACUCUGUAAUGUUAGAUGUAUUAUGGUGCAAUGUGUGCCUCAGAAACAUAGAGGCAUGCGGCAUGGAACAAGACUCUUCGGCCCACCUUGGACACGUCAACCAACAUGGGGGAUGGGAGCAUGAGCAGAGAGACAGAGGGUGUAAAAUGAGGGUAGAAGCAAUAGGUAGCAAGGUGAAAAGUACAAGUGGCAGGCAGACAAAUUCAUGGGAAAAAUCAAAAAGGGCCACUUUUCAACAUAAUUGUAUUAGGGGUAAGAGUGUUGUAAAAACAAGCCUGAAGGCUUUGUGUCUCAAUGCAAGGAGCAUUCAUAAUAAGGUGAAUGAGUUGAAUGUGCAGAUAGUUAUUAAUGAAUAUGAUACAGUUGGGAUCACGGAGACAUGGCUCCAAGGUGACCAAAACUGGGAGCUGAACAUCCAGGAAUAUUCAAUAUUCAUGAGGGAUAGACAGAAAGGAAAAUGAGGUGGGGUAGCGUUGCUGGUUAGAGAGGAGAUUAACGCAAUAGAAAGAAAGAACAUUAGCUUGGAGGAUGUGGAAUCGAUAUGGGUAGAGCUGCGAAUCACUAAGGGGCAGAAAGCGCUAGUUUUCUAGCUAGUUUUGCUAGUAGAAAUUCAGAGCCCAGCAGAGGAAGACAAAGGGCUUAAUUAGGAAAGGGAAAAUAGAACGAAAGAAAACUGGCAGGAAACAUAAAAACUGACUGCAAAAGCUUUUAUAGAUAUGUGAAGAGAAAAAGAUUAGUUAAAACAAAUGUAGGUCCCUUGCAGUCAGAAACAGGUGAAUUGAUCAUGGGGAACAAGGACAUGGCAGACCAAUUGAAUAACUACUUUGGUUCUGUCUUCACUAAGGAAGACAUAAAUAAUCUGCCGGAAAUAGCAGGGGACCGGGGGUCAAAUGAGAUGGCGGAACUGAGUGAAAUCCAGGUUAGCCGGGAAGUGGUGUUAGGUAAAUUGAAUGGAUUAAAGACCAAUAAAUCCCCAGGGCCAGAUAGGCUGCAUCCCAGAGUACUAAAGGAAGUAGCCCCAGAAAUAGUGGAUGCAUUAGUGAUAAUUUUUCAAAACUCUUUAGAUUCUGGAGUAUUUCCUGAGGAUUGGAGGGUAGCUAAUGUAACCCCACUUUUUAAAAAGGGAGGGAGAGAGAAAACGGGGAAUAACAGACCAGUUAGUCUAACGUCGGUAGUGGGGAAACUGAUAGAAUCAGUUAUUAAAGAUGGGAUAGCAGCACAUUUGGAAAGUGGUGAAAUCAUUGGACAAAGUCAGCAUGGAUUUAUGAAAGGUAAAUCAUGUCUGACGAAUCUUAUAGAAUUUUUCGAGGAUGUAACUAGUAGAGUGGAUAAUGGCUGGCAGACAGGAAGCAAAGAGUAGGAGUAAACGGGUCAUUUUCACAAUGUGAGGCAGUGACUAGUGGGGUAUCGCAAGGCUCAGUGCUGGGACCCCAGCUAUUUACGAUAUAUAUUAAUGAUUUGGACGCGGGAAUUGAAUGCUACAUCUCCAAGUUUGCGGAUGGCACGAAGCUGGGGGGCAGUGUUAGCUGUGAGGAGGAUGCUAGGAGGCUGCAAGGUGGCUUGGAUAGGCUGGGUGAGUAGGCAAAUGCAUGGCAGAUGCAGUAUAAUGUGGAUAAAUGUGAGGUUACCCACUUUGGUGGCAAAAACAGGAAAGUAGACUGUUAUCUGAAUGGUGGCCGAUUAGGAAAAGGGAGAUGCAACGAGACCUGGGUGUCAUGGUACGCCAGUCAUUAACAGUAGGCAUGCAGAUGCAGCAGGCAGUGAAGAAGGCGAAUGGUAUGUUAGCAUUCAUAGCAAAAGGAUUUGAGUAUAGGAGCAGGGACGUUCUACUGCAGUUGUACAGGGUCUUUGUGAGACCACACCUGGAGUAUUGCGUACAGAUUUGGUCUCCUAAUCUGAGGAAAGACAUUCUUGCCAUAGAGGGAGUACAGAGAAGGUUCACCAGACUGAUUCCUGGGAUGUCAGGACUUUCAUAUGAAGAAAGACUGGAUAGACUCGGUUUGUACUCGCUAGAAUUUAGAAGAUUGAGGGGGGAAUCUUAUAGAAACUUACAAAAUUCUUAAGGGGUUGGACAGGGUAGAUGCAGGAAGAUUGUUUCCGAUGUUGGGGAAGUCCAGAACAAGGGGUCACAGUUUAAGGAUAAGGGGGAAAACUUUUAGGACCGAGAUGAGGAAAACAUUUUUCACACAGUUUUCAGAGUGGUGAAUCUCUGGAAUUCUCUGCCGCAGAAGGUAGUUGAGGCCAGUUCGUUGGCUAUAUUUAAGAGGGAGUUAGAUGUGGCCGUUGUGGCUAAAGGGAUCAGGGGGUAUGGAGAGAAAGGCAGGUACAGGAUACUGAGUUGGAUGAUCAGCCAUGAUCAUAUUGAAUGGCGGUGCAGGCUCGAAGGGCCGAAUGGCCUACUCCUGCACCUAUUUUCUAUGUUCUAAAUUGAAACAAUGGCGAAAUAUGGAUUGAAAACGGCUCAAUGUAAUAUUUUGUCAUAAAACUGGGGGGUUUUGAAAGAGCAUUACGUUGCGAGGUGGCAGAUAACCAGAUCUGGAAUGUUCACC
Molecule: RNA transcript, 5177 nt
Organism: Leucoraja erinaceus (little skate)
Lineage: Eukaryota; Metazoa; Chordata; Chondrichthyes; Rajiformes; Rajidae
Gene name: tripartite motif-containing protein 15-like
Exons: 4
Source: RefSeq, a predicted model, not a curated record